GUGGGAGCGGGCUUGCUCGCGAAUGCGGUGUGUCAGUCGACAUCGAUGUGUCUGAUACACCGCAUUCGCGAGCAAGCCCGCUCCCAC
This 87-nucleotide unclassified non-coding RNA is filed under the name Pseudomonas sp. NFACC39-1. RNAcentral also lists the same sequence under 1 other name. The record is from RNAcentral. Lineage: Bacteria; Pseudomonadati; Pseudomonadota; Gammaproteobacteria; Pseudomonadales; Pseudomonadaceae.